Molecule: ribosomal RNA, 442 nt
Filed under: Streptococcus sp. oral taxon C65
Lineage: Bacteria; Bacillati; Bacillota; Bacilli; Lactobacillales; Streptococcaceae
Description: bacterial SSU rRNA
Rfam family: Bacterial small subunit ribosomal RNA
Source: RNAcentral
GACGAACGCUGGCGGCGUGCCUAAUACAUGCAAGUAGAACGCUGAAGAGAGGAGCUUGCUCUUCUUGGAUGAGUUGCGAACGGGUGAGUAACGCGUAGGUAACCUGCCUUGUAGCGGGGGAUAACUAUUGGAAACGAUAGCUAAUACCGCAUAACAAUGGAUGACACAUGUCAUUUAUUUGAAAGGGGCAAUUGCUCCACUACAAGAUGGACCUGCGUUGUAUUAGCUAGUAGGUGAGGUAACGGCUCACCUAGGCGACGAUACAUAGCCGACCUGAGAGGGUGAUCGGCCACACUGGGACUGAGACACGGCCCAGACUCCUACGGGAGGCACAGUAGGGAAUCUUCGGCAAUGGGGGCAACCCUGACCGAGCAACGCCGCGUGAGUGAAGAAGGUUUUCGGAUCGUAAAGCUCUGUUGUAAGUCAAGAACGAGUGUGAGAG